RNAcentral lists this ribosomal RNA (177 nucleotides) under uncultured bacterium. Its description in RNAcentral is "partial 16S ribosomal RNA". It matches the Rfam family "Bacterial small subunit ribosomal RNA", at positions 1324 to 1500 of the family's 1533-position model. The record is from RNAcentral.
GACUGGAAUCGCUAGUAAUCGCGAAUCAGCAUGUCGCGGUGAAUACGUUCCGGGUCUUGUACACACCGCCCGUCACACCAUGGGAGUCGGAAAUGCCCGAAGCCAGUGACCCAACCUUUAAGGAGGGAGCUGUCGAAGGCAGGUCUGGUAACUGGGGUGAAGUCGUAACAAGGUAUC